UCCUUAGAGUUUGAUCCUGGCUCAGGACGAACGCUGGCGGCGUGCUUAACACAUGCAAGUCGAACGAUGAAGCCCUUCGGGGUGGAUUAGUGGCGAACGGGUGAGUAACACGUGGGCAAUCUGCCCUUCACUCUGGGACAAGCCCUGGAAACGGGGUCUAAUACCGGAUAACACUCUGUCCCUCAUGGGAUGGGGUUAAAAGCUCCGGCGGUGAAGGAUGAGCCCGCGGCCUAUCAGCUUGUUGGUGGGGUAAUGGCCUACCAAGGCGACGACGGGUAGCCGGCCUGAGAGGGCGACCGGCCACACUGGGACUGAGACACGGCCCAGACUCCUACGGGAGGCAGCAGUGGGGAAUAUUGCACAAUGGGCGAAAGCCUGAUGCAGCGACGCCGCGUGAGGGAUGACGGCCUUCGGGUUGUAAACCUCUUUCAGCAGGGAAGAAGCGA
This 446-nucleotide ribosomal RNA is filed under the name Streptomyces sp. 3BG9. Its description in RNAcentral is "bacterial SSU rRNA". It matches the Rfam family "Bacterial small subunit ribosomal RNA", at positions 1 to 453 of the family's 1533-position model. The record is from RNAcentral. Lineage: Bacteria; Bacillati; Actinomycetota; Actinomycetes; Kitasatosporales; Streptomycetaceae.